RNAcentral lists this long non-coding RNA (311 nucleotides) under Hordeum vulgare. Its description in RNAcentral is "long non-coding RNA (HVUL_LNC015126)". Lineage: Eukaryota; Viridiplantae; Streptophyta; Magnoliopsida; Poales; Poaceae. The record is from RNAcentral.
UGGAGGAGGUCAAGGAGGUGGACAUGCGAUACACCCAAACAUUAAGAAGGAGUAGUAGGUCAUAUAACUAAAACACCGAGGGAGAUGACGCUUUUCUGGUGUCGGCAAUGGUGGUGCCGGUGGUGACGGCCCGAGUGAGUGAAGCCAUUGUGAUCUUUCAUAGCUUUUCGGUACCUUUCGACACAAAUUUGGUUUAUGUUUGUUUGGUUGGUUGAACUUUACUUAAUGCUCAUUAUGGUGUGGCGUAUACUUUUUGCGGUGUCUGUUGUGGUGUAUUUGAAUUGUUUAUGUUUGUUUUGAUACAUGAUAAU